RNAcentral lists this ribosomal RNA (400 nucleotides) under uncultured bacterium. Its description in RNAcentral is "bacterial SSU rRNA". It matches the Rfam family "Bacterial small subunit ribosomal RNA", at positions 355 to 771 of the family's 1533-position model. The record is from RNAcentral.
UGGGGAAUAUUGCACAAUGGGCGAAAGCCUGAUGCAGCAACGCCGCGUGCGGGAAGAAGGCCCUAGGGUUGUAAACCGCUUUCAGCAGGGAAGAAAAUGACGGUACCUGCAGAAGAAGGUGCGGCCAACUACGUGCCAGCAGCCGCGGUGACACGUAGGCACCAAGCGUUGUCCGGAUUUAUUGGGCGUAAAGAGCUCGUAGGCGGUUUAGUAAGUCGGGUGUGAAAACUCUGGGCUCAACCCAGAGACGCCACCCGAUACUGCUAUGACUUGAGUACGGUAGGGGAGUGGGGAAUUCCUGGUGUAGCGGUGAAAUGCGCAGAUAUCAGGAGGAACACCAGUGGCGAAGGCGCCACUCUGGGCCGUAACUGACGCUGAGACACGAAAGCGUGGGGAGCAA